GACGAACGCUGGCGGCGUGCUUAACACAUGCAAGUCGAACGCUGAAGCUCAGCUUUUGUUGGGCGGAUGAGUGGCGAACGGGUGAGUAACACGUGAGUAACCUGCCUCCUUCUUUGGGAUAACGCCCGGAAACGGGUGCUAAUACUGGAUAUUCACUGGUCUUCGCUUGGGGGUUGGCGGACAGGGAUUUUCUGGUGGGGGAUGGGCUCGCGGCCUAUCAGCUUGUUGGUGGGGUGAUGGCCUACCCAGGCUUUGACGGGUAGGCGGCCUGAGAGGGUGACCGGUCACAUUGUGACGGGUGUACGGCCCAGAGUUCUACGGGAGGCAGCCGUGAGGCCUAGUGCACAGUGGGCGCAAGACUGAUCCAGCGACGCCGCGUGAGGGAUCGAGACCAUCGGGUUGUGAACCUCUUGGGCUCAUGGUCAAGCAGCGCCCAUGGUUGUAAUGAGGGUGGCGGGUAGAGAAGCCCCGGCUAACUACGUG
This 483-nucleotide ribosomal RNA is filed under the name uncultured bacterium. Its description in RNAcentral is "partial 16S ribosomal RNA". It matches the Rfam family "Bacterial small subunit ribosomal RNA", at positions 28 to 507 of the family's 1533-position model. The record is from RNAcentral.